This 468-nucleotide ribosomal RNA is filed under the name uncultured bacterium. RNAcentral's name for it is "partial 16S ribosomal RNA". It matches the Rfam family "Bacterial small subunit ribosomal RNA", at positions 28 to 507 of the family's 1533-position model. The record is from RNAcentral.
GACGAACGCUGGCGGCGUGCUUAACACAUGCAAGUCGAACGGAAAGGCCCUGCUUUUGUGGGGUGCUCGAGUGGCGAACGGGUGAGUAACACGUGAGUAACCUGCCCUUGACUUUGGGAUAACUUCAGGAAACUGGGGCUAAUACCGGAUAGGAGCUCCUGCUGCAUGGUGGGGGUUGGAAAGUUUCGGCGGUUGGGGAUGGACUCGCGGCUUAUCAGCUUGUUGGUGGGGUAGUGGCUUACCAAGGCUUUGACGGGUAGCCGGCCUGAGCGGGUGGCCGGCCAAAUUGGGACUGAGAUACGGCCCAGACUCCUACGGGAGGCAGCAGUGGGGAAUAUUGCACAAUGGGCGGAAGCCUGAUGCAGCAACGCCGCGUGCGGGAUGACGGCCUUCGGGUUGUAAACCGCUUUCGCCUGUGACGAAGCGUGAGUGACGGUAAUGGGUAAAGAAGCACCAGCUAACUACGUG